This 922-nucleotide ribosomal RNA is filed under the name Chiloplacus propinquus. Its description in RNAcentral is "SSU rRNA". It matches the Rfam family "Eukaryotic small subunit ribosomal RNA", at positions 39 to 966 of the family's 1831-position model. Lineage: Eukaryota; Metazoa; Nematoda; Chromadorea; Rhabditida; Cephalobidae. The record is from RNAcentral.
AAAGAUUCAUCUAUGCAUGUCUAAGUAUAAACGAUCUAAUCGUGAAACCGCGAAUGGCUCAUUAUAACAGCUAAAAUCUACUUGAUCUUGACACAAUCCUACUUGGAUAACUGUGGUAAUUCUAGAGCUAAUACAUGCAUUAAAGCUCUGACCUCACGGGAAGAGUGCACUUAUUAGAACAAAACCAAGCGGCUUCGGCUGUUUCUGGUUGACUCAUAGUAACUGAGCUGAUCGCACGGUCUUGCACCGGCGACGUGUCUUUCGAGUAUCUGCCGUAUCAACUUUCGAUGGUAGUGUAUCUGACUACCAUGGUGAUCACGCGUAACGGAGAAUAAGGGUUCGGCUCCGGAGAGUUCGCCUGAGAAAUCGCGAACACAUCUAAGGAAGGCAGCAGGCGCGAAAAUUACCCACUCUCAGCACGAGGAGGUAGUGACGAAAAAUAACGAGACCGUUCUCUUAUGAGGCCGGUCAUCGGAAUGGGUACAAUUUAAACCCUUUAACGAGUAUCUAUGAGAGGGCAAGUCUGGUGCCAGCAGCCGCGGUAAUUCCAGCUCUCAAAGUGCAUAGAAUUAUUGCUGCGGUUAAAAAGCUCGUAGUUGGAUCUGUGCCAUAGGACGUGGUCCACCUUCUGGGUGCGUACUAUGUUCCUAGGCUUUUUGCUGGUUUUCCCGUCGUAGCCUUAACUGGUUGCGGCGGGUGGCUGGCGAGUUUACUUUGAGAAAAUCAGAGUGCUCAACACAGGCGUAUCGCUUGAAUGAUUGUGCAUGGAAUAAUAGAAAAGGAUUUCGGUCCUCUUUUAUUGGUUUUGUGGACUGAGAUAAUGGUUAACAGGGACCAACGGGGGCAUUCGUAUCGCUGCGUGAGAGGUGAAAUUCUUGGACCGUAGCGAGACGGCCUACUGCGAAAGCAUUUGCCAAGAAUG